GAUGAACGCUGGCGGCGUGCCUAAUACAUGCAAGUCGAGCGAACAGACGAUGAGCUUGCUCCUUUGACGUUAGCGGCGGACGGGUGAGUCACACGUAGGUAACCUCCCUGUAAGACUGGGAUAACUUCGGGAAACCGGAGCUAAUACGGGAGAAUAUUUCGAACCACAUGGUUCGAUAGAGAAAGAUGGCGUUGCUGUCACUUAUAGAUGGACCUGCGCCGUAUGAGCUAGUUGGUAAGGUAACAGGUUACCAAGGCAACGCUUCGUAGCCGAGCGGAGAGGGUGAUAGGCCACACUGGAGCUGAGACACGGUCAAGACGCCUACGGGAGGGAGCAGUCGGGAAUCUGAGGCAAUGGGCGAAAGCCUGACGGAGCAACGGGGCGUGUGUGAUGACGGUCCUGGGAGCGUAAAACCGUGUUAUUAGGGAUGAACAACUGUGGACGGAAACGUGCCCGGCGUGACGGUAACUAAUCAGAAAGCACCGGCUAACUACGUG
RNAcentral lists this ribosomal RNA (497 nucleotides) under uncultured bacterium. Its description in RNAcentral is "partial 16S ribosomal RNA". It matches the Rfam family "Bacterial small subunit ribosomal RNA", at positions 28 to 507 of the family's 1533-position model. The record is from RNAcentral.